RNAcentral lists this unclassified non-coding RNA (1307 nucleotides) under Hevea brasiliensis (rubber tree). Lineage: Eukaryota; Viridiplantae; Streptophyta; Magnoliopsida; Malpighiales; Euphorbiaceae. The record is from RNAcentral.
AGAAGGUGGUGAGGAUCCAAUUCGCUGGAAGCCGCUUACUGAUGUCAUUGAUGGAUAUUCUCCAACACUUCCCCACCUUAAAGGUCUGCAAAAUGGAGAUACUGCAACAAGUGCAAUUAAGCAGGUUGCUUCUGGACGCUUUGGUGUCACUCCUACAUUUCUAGCUAAUGCCGACCAGUUAGAAAUUAAAAUUGCUCAAGGUGCAAAGCCAGGUGAAGGUGGCCAAUUGCCUGGUAAAAAAGUUAGCGCUUACAUUGCUAGACUAAGGAAUUCAAAACCUGGAGUUCCUCUUAUAUCUCCACCACCACACCAUGAUAUUUAUUCUAUCGAGGAUCUUGCUCAGUUGAUUUAUGAUCUUCAUCAGGUCAACCCAAGAGCUAAGGUAUCUGUAAAGCUUGUCGCUGAAGCUGGUAUUGGUACUGUGGCUUCUGGGGUGGCAAAGGGAAAUGCUGAUAUCAUACAGAUAUCAGGGCAUGAUGGGGGAACUGGAGCAAGCCCAGUAAGUUCAAUUAAGCAUGCUGGUGGCCCCUGGGAGCUUGGACUUACAGAGACACACCAGACACUCAUUGAAAAUGGGUUAAGAGAAAGGGUUGUUCUUAGAGUUGAUGGUGGAUUUAAAAGUGGUUUUGAUGUCAUGAUGGCUGCAGCAAUGGGUGCAGAUGAGUAUGGAUUUGGUUCGGUAGCAAUGAUAGCCACGGGUUGUGUGAUGGCUCGCAUAUGCCAUACUAACAAUUGUCCAGUUGGUGUUGCCAGUCAGAGAGAGGAGUUACGAGCUCGGUUCCCAGGUGUUCCAGGAGACCUUGUUAACUACUUUUUGUAUGUUGCUGAAGAGGUGAGAGGCAUGUUGGCUCAACUAGGCUAUGAGAAACUGGAUGACAUAAUUGGGCGCACAGAUAUACUUAGACCUCGAGAUAUAUCAUUAAUGAAAACUCGGCAUCUUGAUCUUAGUUACAUCCUUUCUAAUGUUGGGUUGCCUGAAUGGAGCAGCAGUAUGAUAAGGAAUCAGGAAGUUCAUAGUAAUGGUCCUGUUCUUGAUGAUGUUUUGCUUGCAGAUCCAAAGAUAUCUGAUGCAAUUGAGAAUGAAAAGGUGGUCAACAAGACAGUUGAAAUAUAUAAUAUUGACCGUGCUGUAUGUGGUCGCAUUGCGGGUGCCGUGGCUAAGAAAUAUGGUGAUACUGGUUUUGCCGGACAGCUGAACAUAACAUUUACCGGGAGUGCUGGCCAAUCUUUUGCUUGUUUUCUGACACCUGGAAUGAACAUCAGACUUAUUGGAGAAGCUAAUGACUAUGUAGGAAAGGGCAUGGCUG